GACAGAGGGUGCAAACGUUGUUCGGAUUUACUGGGCGUAAAGCGCGUGUAGGCGGCUUUGCAAGUCGGAUGUGAAAGCCCACGGCUCAACCGUGGAAGUGCAUCCGAAACUGCAUGGCUUGAGUCUCGGAGAGGAAGGUGGAAUGCUUGGUGUAGAGGUGAAAUUCAUAGAUAUCAAGCAGAACACCUGCGGCGAAGGCGGCCUUCUGGACGAUGACUGACGCUGAGACGCGAAAGCGUGGGGAGCAAACAGG
RNAcentral lists this ribosomal RNA (253 nucleotides) under uncultured bacterium. RNAcentral describes it as "partial 16S ribosomal RNA". It matches the Rfam family "Bacterial small subunit ribosomal RNA", at positions 524 to 776 of the family's 1533-position model. The record is from RNAcentral.